AUUGAACGCUGGCGGCAUGCCUUACACAUGCAAGUCGAACGGCAGCAUGGAAGAGCUUGCUCUUCUGAUGGCGAGUGGCGAACGGGUGAGUAAAGCAUCGGAACGUACCGUGUAGUGGGGGAUAACGUAGCGAAAGUUACGCUAAUACCGCAUACGCACUGAGGUGGAAAGCGGGGGAUCGCAAGACCUUGCGCUAUACGAGCGGCCGAUGUCAGAUUAGCUAGUUGGUAGGGUAAAGGCCUACCAAGGCGACGAUCUGUAGCGGGUCUGAGAGGAUGAUCCGCCACACUGGGACUGAGACACGGCCCAGACUCCUACGGGAGGCAGCAGUGGGGGAUUUUGGACAAUGGGCGAAAGCCUGAUUCAGCCAUGCCGCGUGAGUGAAGAAGGCCUUCGGGUUGUAAAGCUCUUUCGGCUGGGAAGAAAUCGCACAGGCUAAUACUCUGUGUGGAUGACGGUACCAGCACAAGAAGCACCGGCUAACUACGUGCCAGCCGCCGCAGUAA
RNAcentral lists this ribosomal RNA (506 nucleotides) under uncultured bacterium. Its description in RNAcentral is "partial 16S ribosomal RNA". It matches the Rfam family "Bacterial small subunit ribosomal RNA", at positions 30 to 523 of the family's 1533-position model. The record is from RNAcentral.